GCAUGUGUAUACACCUCAAUCCACAUGUGUUGGAGUGGAUUGGAAUGGAACUUAGUUUAAUACUCCAAUCCACUUCAACACAUGUGGAUUGAGAUGAAUACAUGU
Molecule: microRNA precursor, 105 nt
Organism: Sorghum bicolor (sorghum)
Lineage: Eukaryota; Viridiplantae; Streptophyta; Magnoliopsida; Poales; Poaceae
Rfam family: MIR5565 microRNA precursor family
Source: Rfam